Molecule: long non-coding RNA, 4199 nt
Organism: Taeniopygia guttata (zebra finch)
Lineage: Eukaryota; Metazoa; Chordata; Aves; Passeriformes; Estrildidae
Source: Ensembl
UUUUUUUUUUUUUUAUUUUAAUAAUAAUUUUGUACUGUAAUGUGAAAAGUAUAGUUUAAAUGUCCCUUUAGCAUAUAACCAUUACUUCAUUUCUAGCAAAAAAAGAGCUUUUAAGUCUCGCAUUGUUCUACAGCUUGUGAACACUUUGCAUUGAAUGCGCCAAUAGGGACAAUUUUAAAGGGUUUUUUUAAAAUAAAUAUGUUGUUAAACAAAAAUUAUAAUUUAAUUCUUGUUUAUUUUGAUCAUUAACAGUUUUAGUGGUUAUACAAGAUCACUGCAACUAUGCAUGACAAUUAUGUAACUUGUUUGGAAAGCAAGGUGAAGGAGGAUCAGUGAUACUGGUACACCUACUGGUCAUAAAUACUAGUGACAUACAGGUAAUAGUAGAAAAAACUUCAAAGCAAAAUACCAUUAAUUUUCCAGUGGCUAAUUUUCUUUCACAGUUUUUAUGUUGUACAGUUGCCCAUACUUGGAGGUACCUGUGUGUACCUUCAUUACCUGGUGGGUUUAUGUGUGGUAAGGCUCAAAUUAACAUUUUGUGUAAUCCUACUUUAUCUGUACUAGCAGCUUGACAUAUGUGAGACAUUUCUUUCCCCUGCAAUUUCACUGAAGGGUGGAGAAGGUCACUGCUUCUGAGGGUGGGGAUGGCUCCUUUGGCCAGUUCCCCCUCAAGCAGCAGCCAUGCUUUGUUCAGCACAUUUGGAGGGUGUACAGGAGGGUGUACAGGCUUUAUGCCUUGGAAGUAUUCCCAGAGAAUCCCAGGAAAUGAGCUCUCCUCCCAGCCUGACAUGGUGCCAUACCCCUCUCCCAGUUGUCCUUGGUCUUUGGAACCCGUGAAGGCAGGGGUUUGUACAGUGACCGUGAAGCUAUGGCCAGAACUUGGCUACCAACUGGCAGAAUAAACUUGUCUCCAUAACAAGUAGUGUUAAUAUAAGAUAAUUUAGAUUGAACUGCUUUCCUCAUAUAUAAAUCAUUAACCAGUGGCUAGUUCUCACUCCCACCGGCACUACGUUUCUUAUGACUUCAGUAUGACAAAGGCUUUUCCACCCACAUGAUACUCAAUGACCCAUGCCUAAUGGGGUUUGAGUUUGUUGGUUGGGUUUGUGUUUUGCAGGUGGAAUGUUCUUAUUUCAGCAAUUUGCAAGGACAACCAAAACUGGCUCUGGUCUGCUUUGUGGAAAGUGAAGGAAUUUAUGUCACACAGUUGCUCUCUCACAUACUUACCACUCAAAUAACUCACUGCAAAGUGAGGUAGGUAAUACGCCAUUCCUUGGCUUGUGAUGAUUUACAAGGCGCUCUGAAAGCUGAUAUGCACUCAAAGGAAGCACCGCCGCUCAUUUCCAGUGGCACGAGAACGCGUCAUUUCCCUUCACUAUGCUGCAAACACAUUAAUUCUGAAUCACAUGCUCAAGAGAAAUUACACUGAAAUGAGCACACAUGCAAACUGAAAGAGGAGAGGCCAAGUGCCAGAAUGCUGAGCUAUAAAAUUUCUCUUCAAAAGUAGAAAACAACUCUCUAGAACUACUCAAAGAAAAUGAGAAAGUAGGUGUGACCUUUGAUCAAAGACUUACGGUUCUACAGUCCACUCUGGUUGAAGUGGCCCGAUGAGUGAACGUAACAAGGGGCUGGUUUUCCACUGAAUGCAGAGAAUGGACACUUCAGAAAACACAGCUGCUCUGACUUUGCUGUUGACAUACAGCUGAAGUAGCCCAAUACAGGUUUUCCACACCUGAGUCACUUUAUCCUUCUUUCUCUAGUUGUUUAGAAUUUGCAUUUUAGAUUGUUAUCAUGCAUGCUACCAUGUCUGUCUGACAUGGGGUUGCACAGGGGACUGAAUAGUGUGAUGCCCCCACCUUUGUUGCUCUUGUCACUAUGCAAGACCAAUCUGUUCUGACAGUGUCCUCCCAGCCAAGGGAGUAGAGCUCUGUGGAUAAGGAAAUUGUCUCCCAAAGCUGACUCACGAAUGUGGACAAACCUGAAAUAGGUUGUACUUAAACUUCUGUGAAUGCUAUCCAACCAGCUGGUAAAGGACACUGCACUGCUGUGCUGGAGGGUUUUGCUGACACCCUGCAGGGCUUUAACCUCCUGCUGCCCUUCCUUAAGGGUAAACUCUGAAUUGUAUUUCCUUGAGAAUUCCCAUGGGCUGUAUUCUGUGUACCAGAACUCCUGCUUUCUCCUCCCUCUCUGUUUUUGGUGGCACCAGUUCCUCCUCAGGCCUGCAAGUACUGCUGAAUGUUGUUAACCUGUCCUCAGUGUCAGCCUGCACAUAACCAAAUCAGUGAUGGAAAAAAUGAGCCUACAUGUUUUUUUCCAGGAAGUCUGACAGCAGUUCCCAGUCUCAUGCAGGUGAACACUUUCUCACGCCAGUAACUCAUUAGGACAGCAAGUGUGAUCUCAGCUCUUUCACAAUGAUGUUUAUAGCCUGUGCCACUGUUUGUAAGAACUGUUCUGAAUGGUAGCUGGCUGCUGAUCUUUAACAGCACUUCUGCACUCCCAUUUUUACUUUUUCUAGCCUGUUUUAUUUCUCGUUCUUGGGCUCUGGCACACUUCAGUCACCAUACCAUCCCAAAAUCAUCAUCAAGGCCUCCUAAAAUCCAGUACUGAACCAUGUCCUCCAUCAGCCUGCUAAUGAAAAUCCUUGUCACUCAUAGGAUCACCAUGUCAGUUUAAGCAAAGGAACAGCCACAGCUUUGGCUGAGAAGUGUUUGGUCAGGUUUUCUAAGAUCUUGAAGAACUAAUUUAAUAAAUCCUUGCUUGCUUGUAUAACUGCAUCUUCCAUCUUCUACCACGCUUUUCAUUAUGUCACUUGGAUACAAAUGCAUGUGGUUUUAAUGUGAAGUUAAAUCCUUGAGCUGCAGUGAAAUAAUUACCUUUGCCCUUGAAUUCCUUGCUACCAUACAAUCUAGUUUUUAUAGAGCUAAGAGUUAAAGCAAUAGUGACAACUGAAAAUACUUGAAGCAAGUGGGUAUUUGGUCACCAUCGAAAGCCAGCCUUAGUCAUACAUAUAUAAACUUUUGGGCUUGGGGAGUACAGGUAAAUAGCAUAGCAAAGAUACUGUGUCCCACAAACAAACAUUUGUACCUACAGUUAUUGGUGCUGAGUCAGGAUUCCUGAAAAUAAUCUCUGAAGAAAAUACUGCCAACAAUAAAUAACCUGCAGUUUUUAGAUGUUAAACUUCUGGUAAAACACUGGUUUGUUACACCUGCACCCCUCCACUCAGAUGUAUCAAUGAAUUAUACCAAGAUGUAACCCGUUUCAGCCUGUUUGGAAGAACAGUCUCUUAAGGGCUCUAUGUUCUCUCCUCUCUGAACAUUUUUGUAUGUAACCAAACGGAAGUUAAACAUGCAAAUCCUCACCUUUGCAGCGAGAGUUCAUCCUUACUCCUGCCCUACAAUCCCUAGUGGUACCAGCAAGGGCUGUGGCACAUUUACCUCGCAGUGAUUCUGGGUGCAAGGCUGAGAAGCAGCCAGUGCUGCAGCACAAGGAAGGCUGGGAACAUGGGCAGAAGGUUGGUUUUCCCUUAUUUCCUGUACCUUAAGUGUGAUGUAUUCUGGUGUGUUUGCCUGGGAACAGAGCAGAGCAACCUGCAGGUGGGUUAAAGUGUUAAAAUUAAGGUAGAGUGGGCUGGUAACUUCUGUUUCUAGUUAUGUCAUUUCUUGAAUGGCUUUAAGUACCUUGCCUUUCCCAGGGGGAUAUGUCCAAAGCUCUAGUUUGAAGGUCAGGGUGUGUUCUCCUUUUGAACCAAGCAAUUUUUGAUGGAAUAACAUUCCAGCUUCUGUGAGCAACCAGUCACUGGCCUCCAUGGAUCUUCUUCCCAUCUCACUCACUUCAAUGGCGCCAGGAGGCUUUAAACUGCAGUGAUUUCUGAAAUGGCUUUUUGUCAUCAUCCCCUCUCAGCAAGGUAAAUGAGGUUUGCUUUCACCUGAAAAUAGAAGACAAAUAAAAAGUUUUUUACAACUGGAAAUGGUAAAAUAUUUUUGUGCUUUUGGGCCUUUUUAUUGACUCAGUCCCUUUCAGAAAGGAUCUUUUGUGUGCUGCCCUUGUUCUGUGUGCGGGUGACACCUGGCUGGCCUCUCCUUCCUGGGGAUAGGAACAUCUGCUGCUCCUCGGGCAGGCCUGUGUCUGCUCUUGGGAGACAGGCCAACCCUGAGGCUCUGAGCAGGCUCUAGAGAGAGGAUGGUGUGAAAAUACAGGGCAGG